ACAGAAUAAAGACACCGAUGAAAAGGGAGGGGUGGGAGAAGCUGAACACAGACCACAGGGGGAGCUGCUAGCAGUGCUGCACCCCUUCCCAAACAUGGCCGCUUUUUGAGACUGAACUAGCUGUGGGCUUUGAAGCAAAAGCCCUAUGAAGAAGGCAUAACAAGACUUUACCACAGAGGCUACGAAUAAUACCUUUGAUCCACUGAGCACCUACUCUGUGCCAGCCCCUGGGCAGGAACUGGCAUGCAUGGGCAUGUAUGAUUGCACCAGAAAUAAGUUCUAUCAUUGGCCCUGUUUACUCAUGAACACAUGAAGCUUGCUAUGAAAGUUUAAGACACCCAAGGCCACAAGGCAGUCCCGUGGCCAUGCCAAACCAGCCUGCAGCAGAGCAGGAAUGCCAACCCCAGGUCUGUGCUUGAGCUCCUGUACCUCUGUCUCUGUGGCAGCACGAACAGGCCUCAGGGUGGAAAAUGAAAGAUGCUUAAGGUCACUGCCCCUCCUGUUCUGUACACAAGCCUAAGCUCGGGAGGAAAUAAUUUGAGGUAUCUGGAAGAAGCAGAGAGAGCAGGGCAGCUCUGAAGUCACUGCGAGGCUGUGAGAGGUCAGCCAGCGCUUCAAAGGACCCCAGGACCUUUGCAUAACCCUGGACUGAAUGGGAAGGGAAAGUCCCAGUCAUGACAGAAACGGAAUUUCCCACCAACUCAGUAGGAGGUUUGGGGUUCAGGGUCAGUUUCAUGGCAGUGCAAACAAAAUAAAGAAAAUGUGAUAUUUAUUGCUUACUUAAAUUUGUGGACCAAACUGCCUACCAUGCUAUCCACACUGUUUCCUGCAGGUGGUCAAUGUGGGCUUAAGGGAAAAGUAACUCAUCUUAAUAUUUGCUUAAAUCAAAUGGAAUAUAGAAAGUAAAUAAAUCUGCUGCCAAGCCAUCAAGUAGGGCAUUCUAAACCCAAAAUAAAGAGCCUAUGGACUGUCUGUGGAUUUAGAUUAUGCAUAGUUUUCUGCCACCACUCCCUGUAUUCAAAUCAAUAGUCACAUUUCAUUGCAGACACUUGGAGCUGUCUGGGUUCAAAUCCCAGCUCUGUUGCUUAUUAGCUGAGACACUUCAGCCAAGGUACUGACACUCUCUGUGCCUCAAUUUCCCCAGCCAUUAAGUAGGAGUCAUAAUUGCAUAACCCCCACAGGGUGGAUGUGACAAUUCAACCGGAUCACAAAAGUGCAUGCUCAGCCUAGUGCCUGGCACACUGUAAGGAUCAAUAAACAGGAGCUAUUAUUAUUAUGCUAAUUUGAAGGAUUCUUGUUUUUAAACGUCCUCAUUUCACAUUGCAGAUACCCAAAUAGAAACACAGAUUUUCAUUUGCUUACAAACCUUCCACUUUUCUCCAGCUAGAAGUUACAGGUGGCCCCUAUGGGUGAAUGUGUUAGGUAACACUCACACUUUAAGCAAGGGGAAAUGCAGGCCCAGAGAGAGU
Molecule: long non-coding RNA, 1469 nt
Filed under: Homo sapiens (human)
Lineage: Eukaryota; Metazoa; Chordata; Mammalia; Primates; Hominidae
Description: HSALNT0105955
Source: RNAcentral